CUGUACAGUUCAGAGUUUGAUCCUGGCUCAGGACGAACGCUGGCGGCGUGCUUAACACAUGCAAGUCGAACGGAAAGGCCCUUUCGGGGGUGCUCGAGUGGCGAACGGGUGAGUAACACGUGGGUGAUCUGCCCUGCACUUUGGGAUAAGCCUGGGAAACUGGGUCUAAUACCGAAUACACCCUGCUGGUCGCAUGGCCUGGUGGGGGAAAGCGUUUGUAGCGGUGUGGGAUGAGCCCGCGGCCUAUCAGCUUGUUGGUGGGGUGAUGGCCUACCAAGGCGACGACGGGUAGCCGGCCUGAGAGGGUGACCGGCCACACUGGGACUGAGAUACGGCCCAG
This 340-nucleotide ribosomal RNA is filed under the name uncultured bacterium. Its description in RNAcentral is "bacterial SSU rRNA". It matches the Rfam family "Bacterial small subunit ribosomal RNA", at positions 1 to 334 of the family's 1533-position model. The record is from RNAcentral.